ACAAAAUUCCUAUAGGAAUUUUUCCUAUACGAAUUCCUAUAGGAAUUCUUAUAGGAAUUCCUGUAGAAAAAAUUCCUAUAGGAAUUUUU
RNAcentral lists this microRNA precursor (89 nucleotides) under Paramuricea clavata. Lineage: Eukaryota; Metazoa; Cnidaria; Anthozoa; Malacalcyonacea; Plexauridae. The record is from RNAcentral.